AAAUUUAUUUUAAGGUGUAUCCAAAUUGAAAAUAUAUGGAAAAGCUGCCAGCCACGAUGAAUAUUAAGAGGGCACCAUUAGGUUGAGAAAUGAUCCAUUUGCAUGGAAAGGUGGCAACUAAGCACAUACUACUCAAGUCAAAGAAGCAUAGAUGCAAGAUACUUCUACAAGUUCUUGAUAGGCAGAUUAUUUUUAGAGCUAGUAAGAAACUCAAAGUACAAAGCACCCAGUUAUAACCCUGCCAAAUCAAGGUUCUCACAUAGAAAUCUAAAUUGAUAAUAAACUUUUUCACAUGAUAAAGCUGCUCUUGAAACUCAAAACUACAUAUUUCUAAUCAAAACCCUAAGACUGUUACCACUGCACCAAAUAAUGGCCCCUUAUUAGCAAUUUUCCAAGUGCAACCUCCAAAUUGCUCUUUUAAUUAUCUACUUGAUAUGGCAAUGGCUAGUUAUUGAACAGUUCCACAAUGGUUUCCUUUUCAGACCAAUUCAGUUACACCAUUUCCAAAUCUGUUAUUUAAAACUAUGCAAUCACUAUAACUGGCAUUCUUAUGCCAUCAGCCAAUAUCAGAUAACCACAUAUCAUAAAAAGCAAACUUCAGAU
This 603-nucleotide unclassified non-coding RNA is filed under the name Hevea brasiliensis (rubber tree). The record is from RNAcentral. Lineage: Eukaryota; Viridiplantae; Streptophyta; Magnoliopsida; Malpighiales; Euphorbiaceae.